AGUUCCUGCUUCGUUUAGCCCAUGCCAUUUUGGAAGGCUUUACGUGGUGUCGUCUGUUUUCGCCUCGUGGAAAAACAUUCACCUUUGCCGAGUGUCUUGCUUUACUUGUGAGUCGAGACGAGUCAUUUGCAAAAGUUUUUAAACGUUUUCAGUUUUCGAGCAUUAGUUUGUAGGGGAAAUAGUUUUGUCAAGUUUGUUCCCGCCGGCGUAGAAGCAUAUUGGAACUGUUGUCAUCCGGUGUUGACGACACAGAUCGCUGUCCCGUCUUGCAUCGAACAAAGGAAGAACAAAGCUGAUGUUCGUCCUGUAGCACAAUCUACGGGAAUUAUUGAAGAAAGUUGGUGUUAAACAUAUCGUGGCGUGGUUGUGUGAAGAGACGUUAAGUUGAGAAGUUUUUCUCCGUCAGACAGAACCAACAGACUGGGCUGACUGAUUCAGCUCUGUUAGCAUCAGCUAAGGUUAGCCGGACAAACAGGGGGCUAACCGCUUUUCUGUUUUCAUUCAGAAAACAAUUUUUUUUUUUCUUAAAUACGAGAAUGGCGGAGGGGUACAUUCGGGUGGCGGAGGAGGAAAACGAGGAGCCUAUGGAGAUCCCGGCCGAGGACGACGGUACGGUUCUGCUGUCAACAGUAGCGGCUCAGUUUCCAGGGGCGUGCGGCCUGCGGUUCAGGAGCCCCGUGUCCCAGUGUAUGCGGGGAGUGCGUCUCGUGGAGGGGGUCCUGCACGCGCCAGAAAACGGAUGGGGCAACGUUGUAUACGUAGUAAACUACCCAAAAGAUAACAAAAGGAAAAUGGAUGAAAUUGAUGCCUCUUCGGCUGUGAAGAUGAAGAGGGGAGACAUGAAGACCUCUGACCUGAUUGUUCUGGGUCUGCCCUGGAAAACGACUGAACAGGACCUGAAAGACUACUUUAGCACGUUUGGAGAAGUCAUAAUGGUCCAGGUUAAACGAGAUGCUAAGACUGGUAACUCCAAAGGAUUUGGUUUUGUGAGAUUCACAGAGUACGAAGCUCAGGAGAAAGUGAUUUCCCAGCGCCACAUGAUUGAUGGGAGAUGGUGUGACUGCAAGCUUCCUAACUCGAAGGUGAAUAUGCAGGGUCCCGAUGAGCCACUGAGGAGCCGGAAAGUGUUUGUCGGACGCUGCACAGAGGACAUGACCACAGACGACCUUCGUCAGUUUUUCAUGCAGUAUGGAGAAGUCACAGACGUCUUCAUCCCCAAACCAUUCCGGGCUUUUGCCUUUGUGACAUUUGCAGAUGAUCAGGUCGCCCAGUCUCUCUGUGGAGAGGACCUUAUCAUCAAAGGAGUCAGUGUUCACAUCUCAAACGCUGAGCCCAAACACGGCAAUAGGCAGUUUGACCGUACGGCCCGGUUUGGAAACGGCUUCGGGGCCCAGGCGUUCGGUAGCAACCGUAGUGGGUUGGGGAGCAGCGCUAACAGUAGUCUGGCUAACUUCGGGUCGUUUAGCCUGAACCCCGCCAUGAUGGCCGCUGCUCAGGCCGCUCUGCAAAGUAGCUGGGGCAUGAUGGGUAUGCUGGCGAGCCAGCAGCAGACGUCCACGUCAGGCAGCAGCUCUAGUGGGACCAGUUCGAGCAGGGACCAGGGCCAGUCUUUCAGCACAGGCAACAGCAACUACGGCACCAGCUCGGCCAGUCUGGGCUGGGGCUCAGGGUCAAACUCUACGACCAGCGGCAGCGGGUUUAGCUCAGGGUUUGGGUCCAGCAUGGAGUCAAAGUCCUCUGGGUGGGGUAUGUAAGUUAAGUGUUUCCAUGGUAAGUAUUGUGAGAGAGAUGAGUCUUUUCAAAAGUUUAUUUCUGGUGUUGAUGCGUAUCUGAAAACUAAACACUUUGGUGAAAGACGUUUUGUACAUUUGGAGAAAAAAAAAAGCUAAAGAUUUAACUUAGGAACUGUUGAAGUGAAUUGUUUACCAGGAUCUCUGACUAAAGUGCUAUUUUUGCUGUCUUGUUUGUUUGUAUCCAUUUCAACUGGAUUCUCUAAUGCAUGUAUUGUGAAAUGUGAUGCCCAUUUAGAAAAAUGCAUGAAUGUCUGCGGUUCACCAUUAUCCGACUUUUGUCACCAUCGGCUUGAGAGGCAAUCUUGCAUUGGAAAGAAUCUGGUUGAAACUUUAAUGUCUUUUUUUUUUUUUUUUUUUUUUAAAGUGCAACUUUAUUUGCAGUCAAGUUCUGUGGAAAAGCCUUCACUGAAAUCUCUUCUGCAGUUCACCUCUCUUCCAUUUCCCCGCGACGAAGCUCCUCUUUGGCAGCAUUCUUGGGGUGAUACCUGUAUCAUUCUCCCUCUUCCCACCUGUAAAUGCUAUGCCAUCAAAGAACGGCCUCACUCCGCAUGUUCUAAGAGACGGGACCUUGGGCUCUGCUGGUCGAGGUCUCCGUUUGAACCCUGACCUGAAGGAAGAAGAUGGAAGUUCCAACACUUUCAGUGUGUGGCCUUCUCAGACAUGACAUGGGGUAGUACCUGUCCUUUUGCUGCUUCUGUUGGCUUUUUAGAGCACAUUCCCAAUUAUAACCAUCAACUUUGACGGUUUGUGGUAAGUUUCUUUUAACAAACAUGCACCCAGUUAUCUGGCUUUUAGUAGUUUUCUCCUAAAAUGAUUUAAAGGAAAUAUAAACAUUGCAUUUGGACUGUUUUGUUUGUAGAGAUGCACCGAUCUGAGAUGCAGUUGCUGAAUUUCGAUCAAAUUUUUUUUAACCUCUGACCUACCGUCACUAAUAUAGAUUUUUUUUUUCAGAAUCAGAUUUUUCUUUUAAAUUUAAGAAUGACAAGUUAGUCUUUAAGUUUCUGAAUGUAAAUAAAAUUAAACUGUUUCUCUUAAGAGAUUUCUUUACCCCCCAAAAGAAGCAGCCUAAAUAAAAUUGAUCAUCCAGAUAAAUUUUGCUGGAUGAUAGAUUAGUAGUUGCGAUAAAUGUUAAAGUUUGUUGUUCUAAAAAAUACAAUAUUAAUUUUUAAACAACUCUUGUCACUGGAACUGGAAGACAUUUUAAAUAUCCAGACUAACAAUGAAAAACGAUAAAUGAAACAGAUUAAUAGCACACACAACCAAAACCAUAAAUGGAUAAAUUUUUCUCUACACAGAAUUGGCCUUCUGAAAAUAUUACAUUGGAAAUAAUCAAGCUCAUUUUUUAAAUCCAAAUUUAGUAAGUUCUAUCACUUAAAUAUUGUUGGACACAAAAUCCAAAUAAACUGAACUAAAAAAAAAUUUACCCUGACAUUGAGAAUAGCCAACAGUCUUUUAGUCAGAGGAGAGUUUUUUUCUGCGUGAUCUGUUGGUACUUCUACUAAUCAGAAGAAAGAUCAGAUGUUAGUCUCAGAUCAUCGUGAAAUAAGAUUAGUCAGUGUCUCGGUGCAUCUCUACUUUAUUGCUUUAUAAAUAUUGAGCUCUAUGCAUGGAUUAAAUAAAAAUUGUAAAGCAGACGGUUUACUUUAAUUGCGGGUACUUUCCUUUUCGCCCCUUCGCCAUUUCUUUCUUCUGCAGUUGCUUUUAAACCGUCAAAUCUACAGAAAGUAGUAACCAUGCAUCAGUUUUUACUCCCCUUAGGGAAACUUCAUACCUGCUGAUGAACUUUUUUUUUCCAGUGUUUUUUUUUUUUUUAAAGAAAUGUUUAUUUACCUGCAUAGUGUUUUGUUUGAUUAGAGAUCAAAAUUGCAUAUUUAGGAAAAAUGUUGGCCCCAAACCCAAUUUUUU
Molecule: RNA transcript, 3698 nt
Organism: Poecilia latipinna (sailfin molly)
Lineage: Eukaryota; Metazoa; Chordata; Actinopteri; Cyprinodontiformes; Poeciliidae
Gene: tardbpb
Gene name: TAR DNA binding protein b
Exons: 6
Source: RefSeq, a predicted model, not a curated record